This 406-nucleotide ribosomal RNA is filed under the name uncultured bacterium. RNAcentral's name for it is "partial 16S ribosomal RNA". It matches the Rfam family "Bacterial small subunit ribosomal RNA", at positions 30 to 526 of the family's 1533-position model. The record is from RNAcentral.
AUUGAACGCUGGCGGCAGGCCUAACACAUGCAAGUCGAACGAGUGGCGGACGGGUGAGUAAUGUCUGGGAAACUGCCUGAUGGAGGGGGAUAACUACUGGAAACGGUAGCUAAUACCGCAUACCAUCAGAUGUGCCCAGAUGGGAUGAGCUAGUGGGUGGGGUAACGGCUCACCAAGGCGACGAACCCUCACUGGUCUGAGAGGAUGACCAGCCCAACUGGAACUGUGACACGGUCCAGUCUCGGCAGGGAUGCAGCAGUGGGGUUUAUUGCCGAAUGUGCGCAAGCCUGAUGCAGCCAUGCCGGGUGUAUGAAGAAGGCCUUCGGGUUGUAAAGUACUUUCAUCGGGGAGGCGUUACCCGCAGACUAAGCACCGUCUAACUCCGUGCCAGCAGGCGCGGUAAUUC